GACGAACGCUGGCGGCGUGCUUAACACAUGCAAGUCGAACGGUGAAGCUCCAGCCUGCUGGAGUGGAUCAGUGGCGAGCGGGUGAGUAACACGUGAGCGCCCUGCCCCUGACUCUGGCAUAUGCGCUGGAAACGGCGUAUCAUAUACGAUAUGAGAAGGAACCGCAUGGGCACUUUCUGGAAAGUUUUUCGGAUGGGGCUAGGUUCGCGGCCUAUCAGCUUGUUGGUGAGGUUCUGGCUGCCGACGGCGACGACGGGUAGCCGGCCUGAGAGGGCGACCGGGCACAAGAGGACUAAGGCAGGGGCCAGACUCCAACGGGGGGCAGCAGUGGGAAAUAUUGCACAAUGAGCGAAAGCCUGGUGCAACGACUCCGCGUGAGGAAUCACUGCCUUCGGGUUGUAAACCGCUUUCAGCAAAGAAGAAGCGAAAGUGACGGUACCUUCAGAAGAAGCACCGGCUAACUACGUG
Molecule: ribosomal RNA, 468 nt
Filed under: uncultured bacterium
Lineage: Bacteria
Description: partial 16S ribosomal RNA
Rfam family: Bacterial small subunit ribosomal RNA
Source: RNAcentral